Long non-coding RNA from Thamnophis elegans (Western terrestrial garter snake), 1728 nucleotides. RefSeq lists it as uncharacterized. Lineage: Eukaryota; Metazoa; Chordata; Lepidosauria; Squamata; Natricidae. The transcript has 5 exons. The record is from RefSeq and is a predicted model, not a curated record.
CCGCCCCGAGUCUUUUUCAAGGGGCCGCUCCGGAAGGUGGCGGUGCUGCCCAGCUUUUCCCACCAAUCCGUUAAAUCCGCGCACACCGUUUGAUUCCGUAGGCGUUGGAGGUGUUGCAGACGUACAGAAGAGUCGAGAUAAAUUGGUUGCUUUUAAUAGUCAAAUACGAGUAUUAACAUGUUUUUAAAAAAGGAUUUGAUGUCGCCUGAAGGCUGAUCUAAAGUAUUUCUCUUUUAUUAAAGACCCCGCAUAAACUCAUCCGUUACUAUGACGAAUCUUUAAAGAAGGGCAUUUCCGAGUCGCCGAUUGUGUUCCUAAUUCCCCCUUCAUUUUUACUCAAAAGAUUCAGCUCUGACUUUUCUGGAGAUCGACAGAUGUUUCCAGAUAUUUCAGUAUUUGUGAUAAUAUCAUGGGACCUCAAGAUACUAACAAUUGUUACCAUCCAAGAUGUGUGUGAGUAAUCCUAAUUCAUUCUACAUUAGAAAUGCAUGAUGUUAACAUGGGAACCUCAGUCAUAUUUAAAAACAAACAAAAAACAAAGAGACACUUCUCAGCUGCAUGAAGAAUUUUCUCUGCAAAUUAUGCUGUGACUAUUAUAUUCCUGUUUUUCUAGAAGGAACUAGGAUGAAAAUUCUGGUGCAGUCCUUCACAGGAUGUCAAACUCAAUUUCACUGAGGGCUGUAUCAGGGUUGAGUUUGACGUCGGAGGACCAGAGGGCGUGGCCAUGGUGGACGUGACAUGGGACUCAUGUCGGGGGCACUUGUGGUGGCCAAGUGCUAAGGAGACAUUCAGACAGACAGACAUUCAAGUUUAAGUGAUAAAAUCUUCAGUAACAAAUUGAGGUGUGCUGAGAUUUGUGUACUGGCUGCUGCUUUAUUCCUCCCUUUGUGCAAAACAAAACAGGAGGAAGCUACAGUCAUCCGUAUUUCCUCAGAUGCUUCCUGUCAAGAGUCUAAUAGAUACUGCUGGACUUUCAGCCUGAAUGAAGAAGCAAAUACUGCAUGCUGAUUUUUCUCAGGAAGACAAUGAAGGCUGAACAUCUUUAUAUAUCUGUCCCUGCAUCUCAUCAACCUUUUCAACAAUAUAACAUAUCUGAAAAAUUCUGAAUACAAAAAGCAUAUAUAUAUAUAUAUUUGUACAUAAUGAAGGUCAUACAAGUUCCCAGUUGGAACAAUUUUAAAGAGACAAGGACAAACUACGAAACAUAAAAACAUGACCGUCAGACCUGAUGAGAGCCAUGCUAUGUAUAGAUUGGUUCAUAUUUGCCAUCCACAUCAACAGGUGACUGUUCUACCUUGGUUUGCACAUAUAAAGGCACCUUUUUAAAGUGAAAAUUGUCUUGAAGGACUAUCUUUACCAGGAUUUAUUCCUGUUUUGGCUGGACUUUGAUAUGCUCAAAACUGCAUUACAACAUGCUGUUGUGGCAAAUCUUAGGAUUCACUGACACACAGUAAUUGGAUUGCUGUUCAUAGGUUCCAUGACUUUCCAGGAAAAACUUUUGUUAUAUCAAAAUCUGUAAUGUAUUUUUCUCUAUUCACCACUUUGGUUUGCUAGUUUUUGUAACAUUUAUUUCUACCUUCAUCUCCUUGAAUUGUUCGACUGCUUUUUAAGAUUGCAAAGAUUAUAAAUUGCUUCUCCAUUCCAAAGCAAUUUUAAUUAGUGCGAAUUAAAACAUUUAGCACUUUGAAGAAGCAAAAUAAAGCUAGGCUUCAUUGGAAGUCCAUUGUA